UUUUUUUUUUUUUUUUUUUUUUUUUUUUUUUUUUUAAUGUUUGCCAUUCUGACCUGGUAAGAUGGAACCUCAAAGCAAUGCAAAUCACAUUUCUCUCAUGGCUAUUAAAGUCAAACAGCUUUUAAUAUCGGCCAUUUGAGCUUCUUCUUUUGAGUUCAUCAGGCCAUUCACUCAUUGGCAGUUUGGAAUCUGCAUUAUAAAUUCUGAAGUUCUUUAUAUAUUCUGCAUAUUAACAUCCUGAAGUCUGAAGUAUAGCUGGUAACUCGCUUUCCUGGAAGUGACACUGUUUGGGGAGGAAGUGGGGUGGGGCACGGGAUCAUGGAACUUUUAUGUGGUGCAGCCUUGCUACAAGUAAAAUGUCCACAGCCAGCCAGCUCCCUGCUCCGUCCAGCCACCUUCUACCACACCUUCCCUAACACAGUCUCCCCCUUCCAGAAACUUUUCUUCGGGCCAAUCUUAGUGGUCACACACCUUUAACCCCAGUGUUCAGGAGGCAGAAGCCUACACAGUGGGACUCUGUCUCAAACAAACAAAACAAAAUAAAAACCAUUUUAUUCAGCCAGGAGCCGGUGCAGCUGUGAAGGCCAGCGCGACUCAGUGCCACAGUUGGCCAGGCAUGGUUUUGGGUGCCAGCUCCCCUCGCCUGAUUCGAGGUACUCAAUGUCUGGAGACAUGGCCUUAACCCCUGCUCUUGCCUGUCUUCCAGAAGAAAGGUGACAGUAAUGCUAAUGCUGAAAAGCAAGUUGGAGCGGCAUGAUGGUCUCAAAGGAUCCCGGACAUCAGCCUCCACAUCUGACUCUACUCGGAGGGUUUCUGUGAGAGACAAGUUGCCUGUUAAAGAGGUGGCAGGACUUGACGCUAAUUUACCUUGCACAUGUAAAGUACACUUUCCUGACCCAAACAAGCUCCAUUGCUUUCUGCUGACUAUAAGCCCAGGUGAGGGUUACUACAGGGGUGGAAAAUUUCAGUUUGAAACUGAAGGCCCCAUUGCCUACAACAUGGUGCCUCCCAAGGUGAAAUGCUUGGCUGAAAUCUGGCACCCCAACAUCACAGAAACAGGGGAAAUAUGUCUAAGUUUACUAAGAGGAUAUUCAAUUGAUGGCACUGGCUGGGGUCCCACUAGAAUGUUAAAGGAUGUUGUUUGAGGAUUGAACUAUUUACUGAUCUCUUGAAUUUUGAUGAUCCACUGAUUAUUGAAGCUGCAGAACACCAUUUGCGGGACAAGGAGGAUUUGGAGGACAAAGUGGCUGAAUACAUCAAAUGCCAUACCAGAUGAUAAGAGGAGAGAUCGCAGGUCUGAGGACUUUGUCACAGUUGUUUCUGAUGUGAAACAGCUCAAGCUAGCCCUCCUCCCAUUCUCAUACUCCCUGUCAGCCCCUUGGGAUUGUCCCAGUCCUGUGACCAUGCUGUCCUGAAGAAGACGCUCCUGACUGCCCACUAUAGACGGCGAACAACAUAAUACAGCAAGAAAGUGUGUCUGAGCCCCGAGACAGUUGUCUGCUUCCCUUAACGUGUUUACUGAAACUUCUGUCUAGGCUGUCUGGUGGAAUCCCUCCGAAGUUGUAAUGAACUCACCACUGCGCUUGCUUCCUUUCCCCCCAACAAAUGGUGGCCUGUGCAAGUGAUGUAAUGACAUGUUCCGUGUGACUGGCGGGAACUCCGUUUUUAUGGAAUCCAAAGUAUCAAUUCUUGGGGCUCCUUCCUGUGCCUUCAGAAAGGUCUUGCAUGGACCUACAACUUUUUUCCCUCCGUAGCUUCAGUAUUUAGAGUUGUAAAUUAAGGUCCUUGCUCCAUUUAAAACUGAUCUUUUGCGGGUAACAAGUGCAGAUCAAGCUUCACUUUCUGCAGGUAGAGGCCCAGUCUCCCCAAAUCCAUCUGUGGGAAAGGCUGUCCCUCCCUUCUUCUGAUGUGUUCCUGAAGCCUCGGCCAAAUAUUAGGAGCUACUGUGUGGGAUGGUUUUCCUAGGUCCUCUAUUUCACUCCAUUGGUUUACAUGUCCGUUUUUAGACCAGCACCACACUGUCUUUGUCAACAUGACUGUGGUAUAAUUUAAGGUCAAGUAUUUUCCAUACCUCCAGUGACACCCCUUCUGUUUAAAUAGCUUUGGCUAUCUGUGCUUCCCAGUUUGAUAUUAAUUUUAGGGUCUUUUUUUGUUCUCUUUUGGUGUUUUCUCUCUUUCUUUCUUUCUUUCUUUCUUUCUUUCUGUGAAAACCGUCAACUAGACUCGUGAUACAAAUUGCGGUAACUCUGUAGAUUACUUUGGUAGAAGAGGCAUUCUCAGUAUUAUUUCUGGCACUCCAGGAGCAUGAAAGGUUUUUCCAUCAUCUAGUGCCUUCAAUGUCUUUCCUUGGUGUGUUAAAGUUUUCACAAUAGCAGCACUUCAUUGACUAUGCACACUUUUGUUUUAAGCUUUUUUUUUUCUCCCCCUUAAUUUCUCUCUCAGCAAAUUCAUUCUUGACAUAGAGUUUUUUGUUUGGUUAGAUGGUAGGUUUUUGUUUCUAAUGUAUGAAUAUUACCUGCC
This is an RNA transcript of Mus musculus (house mouse), 2520 nucleotides long. It is a transcript of the gene named predicted gene 16016, with no coding region annotated. Lineage: Eukaryota; Metazoa; Chordata; Mammalia; Rodentia; Muridae. The transcript has a single exon. The record is from RefSeq and is marked validated.